RNAcentral lists this transfer RNA (85 nucleotides) under Alphaproteobacteria bacterium. RNAcentral describes it as "tRNA-Leu". It matches the Rfam family "tRNA". Rfam says of the family: Transfer RNA (tRNA) molecules are approximately 80 nucleotides in length. Their secondary structure includes four short double-helical elements and three loops (D, anti-codon, and T loops). Lineage: Bacteria; Pseudomonadati; Pseudomonadota; Alphaproteobacteria. The record is from RNAcentral.
GCGGGUGUGGUGAAACUGGUAGACACGCCAGGUUUAGGUCCUGGUGGCGCAAGCCGUGGGGGUUCGAUUCCCUUCGCCCGCACCA